RNAcentral lists this transfer RNA (63 nucleotides) under Atatina sp. MPL-2014. RNAcentral's name for it is "partial tRNA-Ser". Lineage: Eukaryota; Metazoa; Annelida; Clitellata; Crassiclitellata; Glossoscolecidae. The record is from RNAcentral.
GGCCCCAAGUUUCGGAAACAUGAGACCUUGAACGUCUUUAAUGGUAGUUCAACUCUUCCUGGA